GAUGAACGCUGGCGGUAUGCCUAACACAUGCAAGUCGUACGAGAGUUUUUAACUCUAGUGGCGGACGGGUGAGUAACACGUGAGAAUUUGCCUUUAGGAGGGGGACAACAAUUGGAAACGAAUGCUGAUACCCCAUAUGCUUUCGAGUGAAAUGGAUUUUAUCCGCCUAGAGAGAAGCUCGCGGCUGAUUAGCUUGUUGGUAAGGUAAGAGCUUACCAAGGCGACGAUCCAUAGCUGGUCUGAGAGGAUGAUCAGCCACACUGGGACUGAGACACGGCCCAGACUCCUACGGGAGGCAGCAGUGGGGAAUAUUGGACAAUGGGCGCAAGCCUGAUCCAGCCAUGCCGCGUGCAGGAAGAAGGUCCUAUGGAUUGUAAACUGCUUUUAUACAAGAAGAAACACUCCCUCGUGAGGGAACUUGACGGUACUGUAUGAAUAAGGACCGGCUAACUCCGUGCCAGCAGCCGCGGU
Molecule: ribosomal RNA, 471 nt
Filed under: uncultured bacterium
Lineage: Bacteria
Description: bacterial SSU rRNA
Rfam family: Bacterial small subunit ribosomal RNA
Source: RNAcentral